CCCCGGCGCCCUCAGUGGCAUUCACUAUUACUGGGCCUAAAGCAUUCGUAGCCGGGCUUGUAAAUCUCUUGUGAAAUCAAUCAGCUUAACUGAUUGUCGUGCUUGAGACACUGCAAGUCUAGGGAAUGGGAGGAGCAAGGGGUAUUCUGGAGGGAGCGGUAAAAUGCGAUAAUCUUCGGAAGACCACCAGUGGCGAAGGCGCCUUGCUAGAACAAAUCCGACGGUGAGGAAUGAAGGCUAGGGGAGCAAAACG
RNAcentral lists this ribosomal RNA (253 nucleotides) under uncultured archaeon. Its description in RNAcentral is "partial 16S ribosomal RNA". It matches the Rfam family "Archaeal small subunit ribosomal RNA", at positions 474 to 726 of the family's 1478-position model. The record is from RNAcentral.